Molecule: ribosomal RNA, 303 nt
Filed under: uncultured Streptococcus sp.
Lineage: Bacteria; Bacillati; Bacillota; Bacilli; Lactobacillales; Streptococcaceae
Description: bacterial SSU rRNA
Rfam family: Bacterial small subunit ribosomal RNA
Source: RNAcentral
UUGGUUAGUCCGCAACGAGCGCAACCCCUACUUGUUAGUUGCCAUCAUUCAGUUGGGCACUCUAGCGAGACUGCCGGUAAUAAACCGGAGGAAGGUGGGGAUGACGUCAAAUCAUCAUGCCCUUAUGACCUGGGCUACACACGUGCUACAAUGGUUGGUACAACGAGUUGCGAGUCGGUGACGGCGAGCUAAUCUCUUAAAGCCAAUCUCAGUUCGGAUUGUAGGCUGCAACUCGCCUACAUGAAGUCGGAAUCGCUAGUAAUCGCGGAUCAGCACGCCGCGGUGAAUACGUUCCCGGGCCUU